Molecule: ribosomal RNA, 773 nt
Filed under: uncultured bacterium
Lineage: Bacteria
Description: SSU rRNA
Rfam family: Bacterial small subunit ribosomal RNA
Source: RNAcentral
GCCCGAAGCUUGCUUUGGGUGGAUGAGUGGCGAACGGGUGAGUAACACGUGAGUAACCUGCCCCUGAUUUCGGGAUAAGCCUGGGAAACUGGGUCUAAUACCGGAUAUGACCUUUCCUCGCAUGAGGUUGGGUGGAAAGUUUUUCGAUUGGGGAUGGGCUCGCGGCCUAUCAGCUUGUUGGUGGGGUAAUGGCCUACCAAGGCGACGACGGGUAGCCGGCCUGAGAGGGCGACCGGCCACACUGGGACUGAGACACGGCCCAGACUCCUACGGGAGGCAGCAGUGGGGAAUAUUGCACAAUGGGGGAAACCCUGAUGCAGCGACGCAGCGUGCGGGAUGACGGCCUUCGGGUUGUAAACCGCUUUCAGCAGGGAAGAAGCCGUAAGGUGACGGUACCUGCAGAAGAAGUACCGGCUAACUACGUGCCAGCAGCCGCGGUAAUACGUAGGGUACGAGCGUUGUCCGGAAUUAUUGGGCGUAAAGAGCUCGUAGGUGGUUGGUCACGUCUGCUGUGGAAACGCAACGCUUAACGUUGCGCGGGCAGUGGGUACGGGCUGACUAGAGUGCAGUAGGGGAGUCUGGAAUUCCUGGUGUAGCGGUGAAAUGCGCAGAUAUCAGGAGGAACACCGGUGGCGAAGGCGGGACUCUGGGCUGUAACUGACACUGAGGAGCGAAAGCAUGGGGAGCGAACAGGAUUAGAUACCCUGGUAGUCCAUGCCGUAAACGUUGGGCACUAGGUGUGGGGGGCAUUCCACGUUCUCCGCGCCGUAGCU